AUGGCGGCGGAGGGGGAGGAAAAGAAGAAGAUGGUGAUGUUGCGGAGCGAGGACGAAGUGGACUUCGUCCUGUCAGACUCCGAGGCCGUGGCCCAUUGCGGCAGGAAAAGCAAAAUAAUGAUGAAGUACGACUUCGAGAACCACAUCAUCCCUUCCGACGACGGCGGCGAAAUCAAGUACUGCCUCAUCCGCCUCUCCGUCCGAGGCGACACACUUUCCAAGGUGAUAGACUACUCCAAGAUGCACGCCUCCGGAUCCCACGACUUGAGCGACUGGGAUGCGGAGUUCAUCGCUGGUUUCAACCACGAGGCCCUCUUCCAUCUCAUCCUGGUGAGUACGCUUCGGAAUAUCUUCAAAUAA
RNAcentral lists this ribosomal RNA (360 nucleotides) under Triticum aestivum (bread wheat). RNAcentral's name for it is "partial small subunit ribosomal RNA". The record is from RNAcentral. Lineage: Eukaryota; Viridiplantae; Streptophyta; Magnoliopsida; Poales; Poaceae.